AGGCGAUUACAGGUACGGGCUCUGAGAGGAGAAGCCGGAGAUGGGUACUGAGACAAGGACCCAGGCCCUAUGGGGCGCAGCAGGCGAGAAAACUUUGCAAUGUGCGAAAGCACGACAAGGUUAAUCCGAGUGAUUUCUGCUAAAGGAAUCUUUUGUUAGUUCUAAAAAUACUAGUGAAUAAGGGGUGGGCAAGUUCUGGUGUCAGCCGCCGCGGUAAAACCAGCACCUCAAGUGGUCAGGAGGAUUAUUGGGCCUAAAGCAUCCGUAGCCUGUUCUAUAAGUUUGCGGUUAAAUCUAUACGCUCAACGUAUAGGCUGCUGUAAAUACUGUAGAACUAGGGAGUGGGAGAGGUAGACGGUACUCGGUAGGAAGGGGUAAAAUCCUUUGAUCUAUCGAUGACCACCUGUGGCGAAGGCGGUCUACCAGAACACGUUCGACGGUGAGGGAUGAAAGCUGGGGGAGCAAACCGGAUUAGAUACCCGGGUAGUCCCAGCUGUAAACGAUGCAGACUCGAUGAUGCAAUGGCAUAGAGCUAUUGCAGUAUCGCAGGGAAGCCGUUAAGUCUGCCGCCUGGGAAGUACGUACGCAAGUAUGAAACUUAAAGGAAUUGGCGGGGGAGCACCACAAGGGGUGAAGCCUGCGGUUCAAUUGGAUUCAACGCCGGG
This 665-nucleotide ribosomal RNA is filed under the name uncultured Nitrososphaerota archaeon. RNAcentral's name for it is "bacterial SSU rRNA". It matches the Rfam family "Archaeal small subunit ribosomal RNA", at positions 255 to 922 of the family's 1478-position model. The record is from RNAcentral. Lineage: Archaea; Thermoproteati; Nitrososphaerota.